UAGGGAAUAUUGGGCAAUGGAGGCAACUCUGACCCAGCCAUGCCGCGUGCAGGAUGAAGGCGCUCAGCGUUGUAAACUGCUUUUAUCCAGGAAGAAUGGUAUCCCUGCGGGGGUAUUUGCCGGUACUGGAGGAAUAAGCACCGGCUAACUCCGUGCCAGCAGCCGCGGUAAUACGGAGGGUGCGAGCGUUGUCCGGAUUUAUUGGGUUUAAAGGGUGCGUAGGUGGCUUCUUAAGUCUGGUUUGAAAGUCGGCGGCUUAACCGUUGGAUGUGGCUGGAAACUGGGGGGCUUGAAUUACUUGGCGGUAGCCGGAAUGGGUCAUGUAGCGGUGAAAUGCAUAGAUAUGACCCGGAACCCCGAUUGCGAAGGCAGGCUACUACGAUUUGAUUGACACUGAGGCACGAGAGCAUGGGUAGCGAACA
Molecule: ribosomal RNA, 422 nt
Filed under: uncultured bacterium
Lineage: Bacteria
Description: bacterial SSU rRNA
Rfam family: Bacterial small subunit ribosomal RNA
Source: RNAcentral